AGAGUUUGAUCCUGGCUCAGAGCGAACGCUGGCGGCAGGCCUAACACAUGCAAGUCGAACGAACUCUUCGGAGUUAGUGGCGGACGGGUGAGUAACACGUGGGAACGUGCCUUUAGGUUCGGAAUAACUCAGGGAAACUUGUGCUAAUACCGAAUGUGCCCUUCGGGGGAAAGAUUUAUCGCCUUUAGAGCGGCCCGCGUCUGAUUAGCUAGUUGGUGAGGUAAAGGCUCACCAAGGCGACGAUCAGUAGCUGGUCUGAGAGGAUGAUCAGCCACAUUGGGACUGAGACACGGCCCAAACUCCUACGGGAGGCAGCAGUGGGGAAUCUUGCGCAAUGGGCGAAAGCCUGACGCAGCCAUGCCGCGUGA
This 368-nucleotide ribosomal RNA is filed under the name uncultured bacterium. RNAcentral describes it as "bacterial SSU rRNA". It matches the Rfam family "Bacterial small subunit ribosomal RNA", at positions 8 to 404 of the family's 1533-position model. The record is from RNAcentral.